CGCACGGCUCCGCGCAGCCCCGCGGGCUCGGAGCGAACCCACUCCAGCUUCACCUUGUGCUGCCGGACGCGCUCCAGGAAGCCGGGCAUGGAGCCGGGGCGCGGUGGGAACAGCGGCUCCAGCGGCGGCUGCAGCGAUCUUCUUAUUGACAGACAGUUCAUACACAGGGAAUGAAAAAAUAUGCCCAGCAGUGUUAAAUUUGGCCCCGUUGUGCUUCCCAGUGAUUUGUCGUGUCAUUGUCUGAUGUUCACAGGAUAAUGGUAGGGUUUGAAAAAUCAAUUAAUAAUAACGUAAAGGAUUACAUUUGAAUUAAUUAGCCCAGGAUCAUAAAACUGUCUCUCACUUGUCCUCUAACGCACACUACAGGCCUCUUUCCCACGCCUCCCUCCCCAAAAAUGUGUGUUUCACGGAAAUAACAUCAAUUUAUGCUUGCUUUUCAUCUUCUCAUACUAUUUGGGGCAGGAAAAGAACAGACCCAGGGUUGUUCCAACAGGCUUUAAGGCUACGUCUUACAUACAAUUUUAAUUUUUUUCUUUUUUUGUAAUUUCUGUCUCUCGUAAUGAAAAUUUCCUGAAGCAUUAACACUUGUUUUUCCUGAUAUUAUUUUGACUUUAAAAACAGUAAGCAGUAAGAACUUCAUUUGUUAAAUUAACAUGCAAAGUCCUUGCAUUUUUAAACUAUUGUGAAACUAUCAGAACCGAUAAACUAAAUGGGUUUGAAAUUCAGCCAGUUUGGGAUAUGUCUUGAUGGGGAACACGGAAAACAUGAAUUCAGAGUAAUUUAGCUUCUGCUGUACUUUACACAAUAGAGGUGCCUUAGUGGAUUUCCACUUCCCCUCUUAUGGUAAUUUUAGUUGCCUAACUUCUUCUUCUCAUAAACUUGUGUAACGUUCUUGCUUUUUGGCUUUUUCAGGCCUCUUCUUUUCUCCCACAACCUUGGUAAUAUUUCCCAGAAAAACAACAACCCCAACUGCUUCCUUCACGGGUGACUGUAGGCAAUGGAGUUCAUGUAACCAGGUUGAAAAUAUAGAUUCCCCAAGGACAAAAAACAAAAGACUGGCAUAAAAAAAAUGUGAAAUUCCUGAGAUAAGAAAGAAUAAAACCCACGCAAUAAGCUUGGAACUAGCCAGGUCAAGACAACAGGAGAUGCAGAUGAGCACCCAUAUAAACUGAUUGACAUGAGGAGGACACAGUUCAGAAAUUUCGGUUGAAUUCAGCUCUUGCCAUCAUCAGGUAAAGCCUGAUGGUUCUUUAGCCUUGAAGAGAAGAAGAACACCAUAUAGAUGUGUGGAUAGUGGAGAAAAGGGUAGAAAGAGGCUUGAUAAAAAUGCAUACGCACUGUAAAUAAUUUCAGAGGUGAUCCUUGAGGAGCAGAGCUGAAGAGAGCCAUUUAUAGACUUCUUAAAAAUCAGAAUUAAAUGGUAUUUAAAUCAUCAAAAUGUCAACUCACCAGGUAAUCCUGAAGGUGCUAACAAUUUUUGCCCGCAGUUUCCCCCUGACACUUCAAGUUCUGGCACACACAUGGGCACCUCAGCCUUAUCUCUGUUGAGCACUGUCACUGUGUAAACUCCAUCAGGAUCCACAACAAAGGUAUUUCUCACUUUUUUCCUCCUGAACAUUCCCAAUGUAUUUUGCUGAAUCUACCAUGCAAAAUACGCAGCUGCUUUCUUUUUACUCUCCUGCUCACUUGCCUGGGGUGAAGCUGUGGGGACCCUUACCCACAUCUUUCACCUCUGCAGACAUCCUUUCUAGGUUGGUCUUCAUCUGAUGAUUUUAAGACAGACAUAGUAAAUAAAAGUUGUGAGCACUGAAAUUCAACAAACUUACAGACAGACAUUCCCUCAAAUACCCUGCAACCUUAUGCAUCCUUCUGUGAUGUGGAAAUUGUGAUGGGAAAAUCAAAAUGCGAAGUAUCAGACACCAUUGUUAAAAGGAAGUUCUUUUUUGGUUUUGCCCAGUGUAAAUAUUUGUACAUAGCAAAUGCUUAAAUCCUCAGAACUGAGAAAAGCACUGCCACAUGUACAGAAAAUACAGCUUAAUAUGUGCCGUGUUAUGCAUCCAAGCACCACCCCCUCUCUAUCUUUAUUUAGUUCACAAAAUUUUGAACAUGAAAGCUUAGAAGUCCAAUCUGUCUGUGUGUUUGCAGCACUAUACUAAGGGCAUCAUCCAAGGUUCUUUUCUAAAUAACACUGUCGAUAACAAAGCUGAUAAAGAAAUCAUUGGUGCUGACCGAACUAGACCCUUUGAAGACAUAACUAUUUUCUUUUGACUGGUAAAUAGUAUUUUUAUGGCAAGAUAAUUCUGAAGGCGUCAGCAGGGACAGAGCAGCUAUGGUGUAAAUUCUAGAGCUACACACUGUUGCUCUAUUAUAGGAUAAGAAAAGCAGAAGGUCUUACAUUACAAUUGGUGCCGACAGACUUAGGAAAUGGCACUUGGGCAUUGUUUUCAUUCCUACAGACUCCUCUGCCUUUCCGGAUUUAAAUAGCAUGGUCAUAGGAUAAAAGUUCAUCCCAAUAAUAUUUUUUUGACCCAUCUCUGCAUCUUCCAGCUGACAUACAACAUUUUAAAGACAGCCUCUCGUUCUGCCGAUGCAGCACUGAGUGACCCUGACAUUUCUGCCCUGCCAAACUGCAUUUAAAAUCCAUCUGAUGCCUGAGAAUUUCCAACUAACUGAGCAGAGAUGUUCGGUCCCCUCUUUUGUUAAGAUUUAAAUGAUUCAAAAAGCAAAAGGCAAAACUGCUUUAGGCAAUGAACUGGGAGCUUUCUUCUGCUGCAUUUAUUAAUUGUCUUGAUGCCAGGUAAUCUAGGAGAAAGCAGAUGCUGUGCUGGGGCAUUAGGCAGAACUACGAUGGAACCAUUAAUAGGGAGGUGUGUCUGAGUGCUGGGGCUUAUCCAAAGUGGCCACUGUCACAUGUCCACUUUAACUUUCCAGAACAGGUUUAUUUUUAGUAAUGAGAAUUGUAGGAAGAUAAAAUGGAUGUAAAGGCGAGGUGCGUUACAAUUACAUCAGCUUUCAAGAUGAAGUUGUGACUCAGAAUGUGAAUUGGAAAGGUCAGGUUCUACUUUUAUUUGUAUCUGUGCAGCUUUUCUGAAGCUGAGGAACUCUGUAGGUGUUGCAUUAGAGUAUCACCGGAGAGUUUAAUAAUCACAUCUGACUACAUGAAUCUGACAAUGGUAUUUACACUGACAGUUUGUAAGCCUUGCGUGAUACAGCCGUUCUGCACCCUUAUACUUUAAAAAUACCUUCCCACGCCAUUUCACAUUAAUGAUUAACUCAGACUUCAUUUAUUUCCCCGAGAAAAUCUUAGUCGCAUCUCAGAGAAGUGCCAGAUCAGAAUUAGGUAAUAUGCCUGAAGUAUAUAUCAAAAAUUAAGUAAUCUGUUAAAGAACAAUGGUAUCAACGUUCUGUACCAAAUCUUCACCUAACCAGGAUAUGCAGUCUUUAUCUAUCAAGAUGCAAAUCGUGUGCUGUACAGGGCUGUAUCAAGGACAUUUUAUGUCAAAAAAAGAUCAGUGAAUAAUUUCCAAAGGGCCGCACAUUCUGCUAAACAGAGCUGCGACACUUGGAAAGGUCGCUUUGUGGUUGGUUUUUGAUUUGUGGGUUUGGUUUCUAAAUAUUGGGAUCCAAAUGAAGAUGCAAUAUUAAGAAGAAAAUAGAAUUCUAAGAGUUCACCUCAGUUCAUGACCUUGUGAAUCUGCCAUACUAUAUGAUGAAGCUCUCACACAAUUUUAUUAGUUAAGCAUUAACCACCUCUGUUGACUCUAAGUGAUUGGCUUAAGACUUCUGGAGAGAACAUAAGCUAAAAAAAGCCCCAAGUAAGAAGACAGUGGAAAAGAAAAAAAUAAAACACAUAUACCUCAUUUUGUGGAGAAGACAAUAAAGAACAUUUAAAGUAUUUUUCUCGUAAAAAUAGUUCUGCUGUUUUUAAGAGGAUUGAAUGUUUUUAGUAAGGAUUAAGUAACAGCUAGCAAGACUAGGACUCUUUCAGUCCUUGAACUUUUAACACAGAUUUUCCUGCAAAUAUCUGAAUAAAUAGAUGUCCCUAAAAUCCUACCUUCUGGUAAGAGCACUUGUGGCUCAGUCUUCAUGCCAUAUUAUAAAAUAACCAUAGGACUGUUCCUUGCAGCUGCAGAUGGUCUCGGUAAUGCUAGCUAAUGAUUUUAAACAUAAAAAUACGCUCGUUGUAUGAUCGAUUUUCUUUUUUAUAUUUUUUAAUAUUUAAAGAUCCAUGGGACAGGCAGUGACUCAUUAUUUAAUUCCUUAUACUGUAAGAUCAAUUUGCCUCCUCAUUUUGUAUUGUUCUUUUCUUCACCUUGCUCACAGUCUUUCUUUCCUUUUCCACCUUUUUGGUCAGUUCACACCCCUUUUUCUCACAUACAUUACUCCCUUCCUGUUCCUGUUAGUAAACCGCUGUAUAGGCUUUCUCCUUCUGUUUGUCCCUUUCAGCACACUCCUCAUUUUUUCCUUCCAAGCUGCCUGGUUCUGUCACGUCUCCCAUUUGCCUUUCUUGGGCUGACCCUUCCCAGACACCUGCCCAUCAUUAGGCUUCAGAGUCCUUCCCCACCAGCCUGUGGCCAGCUUCUGGAUAUGAGGCUCUGCCGUACCCACAAAAAUGACAGGACCCACAGGAUAAUUUGAGGUCAGGAGGAACCUCAAGAGUUUCCCCGCAGUGCCCCACUCCCCAGGCAGCUCUCUCAGUGCUGACAGGCCUGACAGAGGAGUCAUAGAAUCAUAGAAUAGUUUGGGUCAGAAGGGAUCUUAAAGCCCAUGCAGUUCCAACCCCACUGCCAUGGGCAGGGACACCUCCCACUGGAUCAGGUUGCUCAAAGCCCCAUCCAACCUGGCCCUGAACACCUCCAGGGAUGGGGCAGCCACAGCUUCCCUGGGCAACCUGGGCCAGGGCCUCACCAUCUUCAUGGUAAAGAAAUUCUUCCUUGUGUCCAGUCUAAAUCUGCCCCUUUCCAGUGUAUACCCGUUGCCCCUCAUCCUAUCAGUCCAUGCUUCUGUGAACAGCCCCUCCCCAGCUUUCCUGCAGCCCCUUCAGGUACUGGAAGGUUGCUAUAAGAUCUCCGUGGAGCCUUCUCUUCUCCAGGCUGAACAACCCCAACUCUCUCAGCCUGUCCUCGUGUGGGAGGUGCUCCAGCCCUUGGAUCAUCCUUGUAGCCUCCUCUGGACCCACUCCAACAGCUCCAUGUCUUUCUUACAUUGAGGAUUCCAGAACUGGACACAAUAAUCCAGAUGAAGCUUCACAAGAGACGAACAGAGGGGCAGAAUCCCCUCCCUCACCCUGCUGGCCACGCUUUUCUUGGUGCAGCCCAGGACACAGUUGGCCCUCUGGGCUGUGAGCGCACAUUGCCGGCUUGUACUAGCUCAUAUGUGUCCCACCAUGCCCCUACGGCCCCUUGCGCCCUCCAUGCUGCCCAGGUAACAGCUGGGCACUGGAGCAGGAGGGCGACCCCCACCGCCUCGGCCCAUCGGGGAGCAAUGGCAGGCUCUCGAGAAAACAUUUGAUUGAGAUUUGGGGACUAUUUCCUAAUCUCUUUUACACCCAUGGUGGAGAAAAGACGUGAAGGAAAGUGUCCUGAGAUGCUGAAGGAGCAUGCAGUGUUUACCUGUCAAAAUGACCGUAUCAGCAGUUGGAUUAAUCUGUUCUCCUGGGAUAAAGCUGAGCCCUGAGGAGGGACUCAGUGUUGGUUUCUUCUCCCAAGUGAUAGGACAAGAGGGAAUGGCCUAAAGCUGCAUCAGGAAAAGUUUAGAUUGGACAUUAGGAAAAAUUUCUUCACAGAAAGGGUUAUCAAGCACUGGCAGAGGCUGCCCAGGGAGGUGGUUGAGUCACCUUCCUGGGAGGUGUUUAGUAGAUGAGGUGCUUGGGGACAUGAUUUAGUAGUAGACAGGUAUGGUUAGAGUUGACAGUCUCUAAGGUCUUUUCCAACCUGAUGAUUCUAUGAUUCUAUUAGUACCAAACCCCUCUGUAGCUUCUUUCUGCUCAGGAGGAGUUUUGCUAUGCAACCUUACAAAAGAUGGCCAGUGAGAAAUCACAGUUACUUGUUAUUUUAUACUCUAAAGAAAACACAAACAGCGUUGUGUUCUUUUACAUCAGCAAAGACUAUUUCUGACUACACUGUUCUUACAAUACUCUGGCUUGUGUUAGACUUAACAUGUUUCUCUGUUACAAGAUGCAAGGCUGGGCUAAAACUGAUCCACUUGCCUACUGCCAGCUGCAAAAACAAACCAAGAAAUCAAAGGCAAAUCAAACUCCCAACAAUUGCCAGUUUUGCUUAGACACCUUGCAAUCUAUUGACAACAGUACAGGACAAGAAGCCAAGACCACAACAAGCAAUCAAGGUCAGAAGGCGAGUUAAAUGUAGAUGCCACAGCUGAUACAGCUUCAGGAAAUGAAGAUUUCAACCCAUUUUAGUAAGUGGAGCUCUUGUCCUUCAGCAUAUGGUAUUAAAUGGAAACAACGAGUUACACCAUUCAAAUAUUUCAAGCUGAAAUGAAGAACCCACUAAUAAAAAGAACACUGUGAGAAACCUGGAAGAUGUGAAAAAUCCAGAAGCUGUAAGGCAUAAAGAGAUUAAUGUGCUUGAUGCAAACGACUCAGAAUUUUUUAAGUUUUCACAAAUACUUUCACUGGUGAAAGACGCCAUCCCCAGGGAUACUUCAGACCCUUCUUGGAAGAAUACAAAAGCCACUAUCUCUCAGCGGACGCUCAAUGGUACUUCAGCUGACACGGCUUCCUGCAGUCAUGAUGCUCGAGCAACAGAGCAGGAGGGUGAAAAAGGAGCUGACAUUGUGAAUGAAGUGAGGGGACGAAAAAUAGAAAUUCAUGAAUUGUCAUUCAUCUCAAGUCACACAAAGGCCUCAGUCCUGCAAGAAGAUCCCAAGCUUUUAUACUGGCACUGUGUUUCUACACCAGAGGGAAGUAUUGCAAGCAUUUCUAAUCCUAUUGCUUUUAAAAAGAACAGUCGGCAUGCCUGUAUGCAGAGUCCAUAUACAAAUCAAAACCAAUGUACAGAACACAAUGACAUCCAGGGCUCUUUAGCCAAUACUGUCAGGAAAAGGUAUAUUGAGGUCAAGGAAGGAAACAAAUCAGAAACGCUGGAGGUUCCUCUGCUUUCUGGACUGCCUUCCUUAUCAGUCAGCCACGUUGCAGGAGCUGCAGUGCCGUCCAGACUGACCUAACCCUUCUAUAUUGUAAUGUCAUGCUUUUUUUUAAAGCUUGUUAUACUGUGAGAAACAAAAAAUAAAAAUUUCCUUGUGAGCAAUAUGGAUAUUUGUUUUUUUGUAGAUGCUAUUAAUAGCAUUAUAAGCUGAUGAAUGCCAAUUACUUUCACGUAGGUUUCUUCCUGACCAUAAGACAGAUUCAUUAGAGCCUUAAAUAGCUUAUUCUGGGGAUGAAGUGCAACCUUUUCAUUUAGAUUCACUCUGAAUGACUACGGUAGCCUAGCAUGGUAAUUAGUUUUUUGAUGCUGCUGAGCACUGAAGAAUGCCUAACUUUAGGCACAUUCUUAAAUCCAUGCCUGCUCCGCAAAGCAUUUAAUAAUAUUCUUAACUUAAACAGUGCUAAAUCCUAUUGAGCUUCACAGACAAACAUUUGCAUACAUUCCUUGCUGAUUUGGCACCUGAAGAAAUGGAAAUGACCUGGAAAGCAGACAGCAGUGGGACUGUCAGUUAUUUAUAAUUAUUGUUUCUUACUCAUUCUAUAAAACGCAAGCUCUACAAAAGCAGCAUCCUUCACAAACAGCCCACGCGCGCAGAUUACUGCUACAGGACCUGCAGCAGAAGACGAGUAAAGCUGCUAAUGAAAGGCCUAGAACAUAAAGAAACCAAUACA
This is a long non-coding RNA of Cuculus canorus (common cuckoo), 7837 nucleotides long. RefSeq lists it as uncharacterized. The record is from RefSeq and is a predicted model, not a curated record. The transcript has 3 exons. Lineage: Eukaryota; Metazoa; Chordata; Aves; Cuculiformes; Cuculidae.